GUGAGGAAUAUUGGUCAAUGGCCGAGAGGCUGAACCAGCCAUGCCGCGUGCGGGAAGACGGCCCUAUGGGUUGUAAACCGCUUUUUUGUGGGAGCAAUAAGUUGCACGUGUGCAAUGAUGAGAGUACCAUGAGAAUAAGCAUCGGCUAACUCCGUGCCAGCAGCCGCGGUAAUACGGAGGAUGCGAGCGUUAUCCGGAUUUAUUGGGUUUAAAGGGUGCGUAGGCGGGUGUUUAAGCGUGAGGUGAAAUGCCGGGGCUCAACCUCGGAACUGCCUCGCGAACUGGGCGCCUUGAAUGCUCCUGCCGUGGGAGGAAUGUGUGGUGUAGCGGUGAAAUGCAUAGAGAUCACACAGAACACCGAUUGCGAAGGCAUCUCACGAAGGGGUGAUUGACGCUGAGGCACGAAAGCGUGGGGAUCAAACAGG
RNAcentral lists this ribosomal RNA (425 nucleotides) under uncultured rumen bacterium. RNAcentral describes it as "bacterial SSU rRNA". It matches the Rfam family "Bacterial small subunit ribosomal RNA", at positions 354 to 776 of the family's 1533-position model. The record is from RNAcentral.